CGUAGGGUGCGAGCGUUAAUCGGAAUUACUGGGCGUAAAGCGUGCGCAGGCGGUUAUAUAAGACAGUUGUGAAAUCCCCGGGCUCAACCUGGGAAUUGCAUUUGUGACUGUAUAGCUAGAGUACGGUAGAGGGGGAUGGAAUUCCGCGUGUAGCAGUGAAAUGCGUAGAUAUGCGGAGGAACACCGAUGGCGAAGGCAAUCCCCCUGGACCUGUACUGACGCUCAUGCACGAAAGCGUGGGGAGCAAACAGGAUUAGAUACCCUGGUAGUCCACGCCCUAAACGAUGUCAACUGGUUGUUGGGUGCAUUAGUACUCAGUAACGAAGCUAACGCGUGAAGUUGACCGCCUGGGGAGUACGGCCGCAAGGUUG
Molecule: ribosomal RNA, 371 nt
Filed under: uncultured organism
Description: bacterial SSU rRNA
Rfam family: Bacterial small subunit ribosomal RNA
Source: RNAcentral